GCCGGAAUAGCUCAGUUGGUAGAGCAGAGGACUGAAAAUCCUCGUGUCCCCAGUUCAAGUCUGGGUUCUGGCA
This 73-nucleotide transfer RNA is filed under the name Pseudanabaenococcus habilitatus PCC 7502. Its description in RNAcentral is "tRNA-Phe (GAA) (tRNA-Phe-GAA-1-1)". It matches the Rfam family "tRNA". From Rfam's summary of the family: Transfer RNA (tRNA) molecules are approximately 80 nucleotides in length. Their secondary structure includes four short double-helical elements and three loops (D, anti-codon, and T loops). Further hydrogen bonds mediate the characteristic L-shaped molecular structure. tRNAs have two regions of fundamental functional importance: the anti-codon, which is responsible for specific mRNA codon recognition, and the 3' end, to which the tRNAs corresponding amino acid is attached (by aminoacyl-tRNA synthetases). tRNAs cope with the degeneracy of the genetic code in two manners: having more than one tRNA (with a specific anti-codon) for a particular amino acid; and 'wobble' base-pairing, i.e. permitting non-standard base-pairing at the 3rd anti-codon position. The record is from Rfam by way of RNAcentral. Lineage: Bacteria; Bacillati; Cyanobacteriota; Cyanophyceae; Pseudanabaenales; Pseudanabaenaceae.